This 497-nucleotide ribosomal RNA is filed under the name uncultured bacterium. RNAcentral's name for it is "partial 16S ribosomal RNA". It matches the Rfam family "Bacterial small subunit ribosomal RNA", at positions 28 to 507 of the family's 1533-position model. The record is from RNAcentral.
GAUGAACGCUGGCGGCGUGCCUAAUACAUGCAAGUCGAGCGAACAGACGAGGAGCUUGCUCCUCUGACGUUAGCGGCGGACGGGUGAGUAACACGUGGAUAACCUACUUAUAAGACUGGGAUAACUUCGGGAAACCGGAGCUAAUACUGGAUAAUAUAUUGAACCGCAUGGUUCAAUAGUGAAAGACGGUUUUGCUGUCACUUAUAGAUGGAUCCGCGCCGCAUUAGCUAGUUGGUAAGGUAACGGCUUACCAAGGCAACGAUGCGUAGCCGACCUGAGAGGGUGAUCGGCCACACUGGAACUGAGACACGGUCCAGACUCCUACGGGAGGCAGCAGUAGGGAAUCUUCCGCAAUGGGCGAAAGCCUGACGGAGCAACGCCGCGUGAGUGAUGAAGGUCUUCGGAUCGUAAAACUCUGUUAUUAGGGAAGAACAAAUGUGUAAGUAACUAUGCACGUCUUGACGGUACCUAAUCAGAAAGCCACGGCUAACUACGUG